This 497-nucleotide ribosomal RNA is filed under the name uncultured bacterium. RNAcentral's name for it is "partial 16S ribosomal RNA". It matches the Rfam family "Bacterial small subunit ribosomal RNA", at positions 28 to 507 of the family's 1533-position model. The record is from RNAcentral.
GAUGAACGCUGGCGGCGUGCCUAAUACAUGCAAGUCGAGCGAACGGACGAUACGCUUGCUGCUCUCAUGUUAGCGGCGGGCGGGUGAGUAACACGUGUAUAAUCUACCUAUAUUUGUGGUAUCUCUUCGGGAAACCGGCUCUAAUCCCGUAUGAGCUUCUGAACCGCAUGGUGCAAUAGAGAGAGACGGUGGUGCUGGAUCUUAUCGAUGGAUCUGCGCUGCAUUAGCUAGUUGGUAAGGUAACGGCCUACCACGGCAACGAUGCAUAGCCGACGUGAGAGGGGGAUCGGCCACCUGGGAGCUGAGACGCGGACCAUGCUCCUGCGGGAGGCAGCAGUCGCGAACGUUCCGCAGUGGGCGAAAGUCUGACGGAGCAACGCCGCGUGAGUUAUGAAGGUCUUGCGAUCGUAAAAAUCUGCUAUUAGGGAAGAACAUAUGUGUACGGAACUGUGCACAUCUUGACGGUACCGGAUCAGAAAGCCCCGGCUAACUACGUG